RNAcentral lists this ribosomal RNA (462 nucleotides) under uncultured Acetobacterium sp. RNAcentral's name for it is "bacterial SSU rRNA". It matches the Rfam family "Bacterial small subunit ribosomal RNA", at positions 920 to 1382 of the family's 1533-position model. Lineage: Bacteria; Bacillati; Bacillota; Clostridia; Eubacteriales; Eubacteriaceae. The record is from RNAcentral.
CCCGGCACAAGCAGCGGAGCAUGUGGUUUAAUUCGUAAGCAACGCGAAGAACCUUACCAGGUCUUGACAUCCUCUGACAAUCUGAGAGAUCAGACUUUCCCUUCGGGGACAGAGAGACAGGUGGUGCAUGGUUGUCGUCAGCUCGUGUCGUGAGAUGUUGGGUUAAGUCCCGCAACGAGCGCAACCCCUGUGGUUAGUUGCCAUCAUUUAGUUGGGCACUCUAAGCAGACUGCCGUGGAUAACACGGAGGAAGUGGGACGACGUCAAAUCAUCAUGCCCCUUAUGUUCUGGGCUACACACGUGCUACAAUGGCCGGUACAGACGGAGGCGAAGCCGCGAGGCGGAGCAAAUCCGAAAAAGCCGGUCUCAGUUCGGAUUGCAGGCUGCAAUUCGCCUGCAUGAAGUCGGAAUCGCUAGUAAUCGCAGGUCAGCAUACUGCGGUCGAAUACGUUCCCGGGCCUU